UGGGGAAUAUUGGACAAUGGGCGAAAGCCUGAUCCAGCCAUGCCGCGUGUGUGAAGAAGGUCUUCGGAUUGUAAAGCACUUUAAGUUGGGAGGAAGGGCAGUAAGCGAAUACCUUGCUGUUUUGACGUUACCGACAGAAUAAGCACCGGCUAACUCUGUGCCAGCAGCCGCGGUAAUACAGAGGGUGCAAGCGUUAAUCGGAAUUACUGGGCGUAAAGCGCGCGUAGGUGGUUCGUUAAGUUGAAUGUGAAAGCCCUGGGCUCAACCUGGGAAGUGCAUCCAAAACUGGCGAGCUAGAGUAGGGCAGAGGGUGGUGGAAUUUCCUGUGUAGCGGUGAAAUGCGUAGAUAUAGGAAGGAACACCAGUGGCGAAGGCGACCACCUGGGCUCAUACUGACACUGAGGUGCGAAAGCGUGGGGAGCAAACAGG
Molecule: ribosomal RNA, 429 nt
Filed under: Pseudomonadota bacterium
Lineage: Bacteria; Pseudomonadati; Pseudomonadota
Description: Proteobacteria bacterium partial 16S ribosomal RNA
Rfam family: Bacterial small subunit ribosomal RNA
Source: RNAcentral